Molecule: ribosomal RNA, 253 nt
Filed under: uncultured bacterium
Lineage: Bacteria
Description: partial 16S ribosomal RNA
Rfam family: Bacterial small subunit ribosomal RNA
Source: RNAcentral
UACAGAGGGUGCGAGCGUUGUCCGGAAUCACUGGGCGUAAAGGGCGCGUAGGCGGCCUGAUAAGUAGGGGGUGAAAUCUUGCGGCUCAACCGCAAGGCUGCCUUCUAAACUGUCAGGCUGGAGCACGGUAGAGGCAGAUGGAAUUCCCGGUGUAGCGGUGGAAUGCGUAGAGAUCGGGAAGAACACCAGUGGCGAAGGCGGUCUGCUGGGCCGGUGCUGACGCUGAGGCGCGACAGCGUGGGGAGCAAACAGG